This 402-nucleotide ribosomal RNA is filed under the name uncultured prokaryote. RNAcentral's name for it is "bacterial SSU rRNA". It matches the Rfam family "Bacterial small subunit ribosomal RNA", at positions 355 to 774 of the family's 1533-position model. The record is from RNAcentral.
UGGGGAAUAUUGGACAAUGGGCGAAAGCCUGAUCCAGCCAUGCCGCGUGAGUGAUGAAGGCCUUAGGGUUGUAAAGCUCUUUCAGUAGGGACGAUAAUGACGGUACCUACAGAAGAAGCCCCGGCUAACUUCGUGCCAGCAGCCGCGGUAAUACGAAGGGGGCUAGCGUUGUUCGGAUUUACUGGGCGUAAAGCGCACGUAGGCGGCUUGUUAAGUCAGGGGUGAAAUCCUGGAGCUCAACUCCAGAACUGCCUUUGAUACUGGCAAGCUAGAGUCCGGAAGAGGUGAGUGGAACUCCUAGUGUAGAGGUGGAAUUCGUAGAUAUUAGGAAGAACACCAGUGGCGAAGGCGGCUCACUGGUCCGGUACUGACGCUGAGGUGCGAAAGCGUGGGGAGCAAACA